UACGAAGGGGGCUAGCGUUGCUCGGAAUUACUGGGCGUAAAGCGCACGUAGGCGGCUUUCUAAGUCGGGGGUGAAAUCCUGGAGCUCAACUCCAGAACUGCCUUCGAUACUGGAAAGCUCGAGUCCGGGAGAGGUGAGUGGAACUGCGAGUGUAGAGGUGAAAUUCGUAGAUAUUCGCAAGAACACCAGUGGCGAAGGCGGCUCACUGGCCCGGUACUGACGCUGAGGCACGAAAGCUAGGGGAGCAAACAGG
RNAcentral lists this ribosomal RNA (253 nucleotides) under uncultured bacterium. Its description in RNAcentral is "partial 16S ribosomal RNA". It matches the Rfam family "Bacterial small subunit ribosomal RNA", at positions 524 to 776 of the family's 1533-position model. The record is from RNAcentral.